CUUCGGGGUGGGGACAGCGGCGGACGGGUGAGUAACGCGUGGGAAUUUACCCUGGAGUGGGGGACAACAGCUGGAAACGGCUGCUAAUACCGCAUACGCCCUGAGGGGGAAAGGCUUCGGCCGCUCUAGGAUGAGCCCGCGUCGGAUUAGCUAGUUGGUAGGGUAACGGCCUACCAAGGCGACGAUCCGUAGCUGGUCUGAGAGGAUGACCAGCCACACUGGGACUGAGACACGGCCCAGACUCC
This 245-nucleotide ribosomal RNA is filed under the name uncultured bacterium. RNAcentral's name for it is "partial 16S ribosomal RNA". It matches the Rfam family "Bacterial small subunit ribosomal RNA", at positions 78 to 339 of the family's 1533-position model. The record is from RNAcentral.